This 614-nucleotide ribosomal RNA is filed under the name Curtobacterium sp. Ri3Pt_4440. RNAcentral describes it as "bacterial SSU rRNA". It matches the Rfam family "Bacterial small subunit ribosomal RNA", at positions 395 to 1008 of the family's 1533-position model. The record is from RNAcentral. Lineage: Bacteria; Bacillati; Actinomycetota; Actinomycetes; Micrococcales; Microbacteriaceae.
CGCCGCGUCAGGGAUGACGGCCUAUCGGGUUGUAAACCUCUUUUAGUAGGGAAGAAGGGAGCUAUCGGUUCUUGACGGUACCUGCAGAAAAAGCACCGGCUAACUACGUGCCAGCAGCCGCGGUAAUACGUAGGGUGCAAGCGUUGUCCGGAAUUAUUGGGCGUAAAGAGCUCGUAGGCGGUUUGUCGCGUCUGCUGUGAAAUCCCGAGGCUCAACCUCGGGCUUGCAGUGGGUACGGGCAGACUAGAGUGCGGUAGGGGAGAUUGGAAUUCCUGGUGUAGCGGUGGAAUGCGCAGAUAUCAGGAGGAACACCGAUGGCGAAGGCAGAUCUCUGGGCCGUAACUGACGCUGAGGAGCGAAAGCAUGGGGAGCGAACAGGAUUAGAUACCCUGGUAGUCCAUGCCGUAAACGUUGGGCGCUAGAUGUAGGGACCUUUCCACGGUUUCUGUGUCGUAGCUAACGCAUUAAGCGCCCCGCCUGGGGAGUACGGCCGCAAGGCUAAAACUCAAAGGAAUUGACGGGGGCCCGCACAAGCGGCGGAGCAUGCGGAUUAAUUCGAUGCAACGCGAAGAACCUUACCAAGGCUUGACAUACACCGGAAACGGCCAGAGAUG